CUAAUUAACUAAUAAAAUAAUAUUGUAGUAGUGGUAAGAAAAGAAUCCAGAGGGAAUUAAAAACCAUUUUUUUUUUACCAACAAGUAAAAAACAAACAAAGGGAAAGGGUUUUGUAGAAUCCACUAUGCAAAAUAUAAAAUAUACAAUAAGCGUAAUAAUAUUAAACAAACUUUAAGAUGCAAAUUAGAAACUAAAACAAUUGUAAGAAGAAUUUCUAGUUGACGAAAUAGUUAACUCUGGUAACAUAAUUGAUCAUAGAUGCAAGAGUUUGUUUUACCCAAAAUAUGGCAAAUCAGUUAUAGUUGUCGAAAAUGUUCUAAGAACCAAUCCUUCCUUAUUCCUAAACCAACUACAAAACAUUUGUUAGUUGGUUCUUCGCUAUCAAACAAUCCUGGAAACAUCCACAGGAUUUAACUUGCCAACAGCCUUGAGAGCAAGAAGGUCUUGGUUUAAGUUGUCGAAUUCAUCCGCGUUAACCAGUCAAUUAGACUACUUACCUCCUUAAUGGUGCAUUGAUUGCUACUUGGUGUCUGAACCACUCAAACAAUUAUAGAUUUGAGGCCUUUGGCUAGCUGCUUACGGUUUCUCUUCAUGUAUGACAAGCCCUAUCCAAAUAGAU
This 620-nucleotide long non-coding RNA is filed under the name Carica papaya (papaya). RNAcentral describes it as "long non-coding RNA (CPAP_LNC002927)". Lineage: Eukaryota; Viridiplantae; Streptophyta; Magnoliopsida; Brassicales; Caricaceae. The record is from RNAcentral.